RNAcentral lists this ribosomal RNA (394 nucleotides) under uncultured bacterium. RNAcentral's name for it is "partial 16S ribosomal RNA". It matches the Rfam family "Bacterial small subunit ribosomal RNA", at positions 523 to 918 of the family's 1533-position model. The record is from RNAcentral.
ACACGUAGGGGGCGAGCGUUGUUCGGAAUCAUUGGGCGUAAAGGGCGUGCAGGCGGUCGUGCAAGUCCGGCGUGAAAGACCCCGGCCCAACCGGGGGGACGCGCUGGAAACUGCAGGGCUUGAGUACAGGAGGGGAUGCCGGAAUUCCAGGUGUAGGGGUGAAAUCUGUAGAUAUCUGGAAGAACACCAAUGGCGAAGGCAGGCAGCUGGCCAUGUACUGACGCUGAGAAGCGAAGGUGCGGGGAGCAACCAGGUUUAGAAACCCUGGUAGUCCGCACAGUAAACGAUGUGCAACAGGUGGCGGGGGGUCGACCCCCGGUACCGUAGCUAACGCAUUAAGUGCACCGCCUGGGGAGUAUGCUCGCAAGGGUGAAACUCAAAGGAAUUGACGGGG